Long non-coding RNA from Austrofundulus limnaeus, 796 nucleotides. RefSeq lists it as uncharacterized. NCBI's taxonomy places the organism in Eukaryota, Metazoa, Chordata, Actinopteri, Cyprinodontiformes, Rivulidae. The transcript is spliced from 2 exons. The record is from RefSeq and is a predicted model, not a curated record.
CUAUAAAAAGCAUCUCUUCUGUUACAUGUCCUGAUAGGUCAUGUGACCACCGCAGAAAGUCUUAACCAAUGAGAAGUUCCGUUGUGAACAAGGAGUUUUUUCAUUGUUCUGCCAUGUGUUGAGCUGUAAGAAGUAUUUUGAGGAGAGAGUAGCUUUCAGCUCCAGCUUCCCCCAUCCUGGGGCGAGGCCAUUCGUUUUUCCAACUUUAUUUCCUUUUUGUAGUUUGUUCUGAUGAAGCUUCUCAAGAAGGAGAUUUACAUUGAUUGAAACAAUGAGGCUGAUUUAAUUGAAGUCGGACGACCACCAGUGUGCCCGCAAGGAACGCAGCCACGGUGCUGGACAACAUCUCCAGUGAAUGCAAACCGGCAAUCCAGAUGACCAGGGAGCUUCUGCACAGCUAAGUCACAGACUCGGUUGGACUUCACGUGCCAGCCCAAUUAGCAUAGAAGUAUCCAUUCUGGCAUCUACAAACUUUGUCGGUAGGAAACAUCUUGCUUAAUUAAUCUGAUGGUGUGUUCAAAGAUUUAAAUCAGAUCAGAGUAUAUCAAUGUUCAUUCUUCUUCCCCUGAGCUCCCUCUUUGUUUGCUGUAGGCUUAGCAAUAGUGAGUUAGUGUUUCACUGAAAUAUGUUAGAAAGUUGUUCACAUGGUAGCCAUGUCAGACUACUUACGCCACUCCUUGAUCAAGUUUACAGAACUGAUUAUAAAGUGUGUUUUUGUCUGAGAAAUGACUUGUAAUGCAUAUAUUUCCCUCUGAACCUCAUUUUAAAUAAUAUACGGAUGAAUUUCCAAAUGUGA